UCCUACGGGAGGCAGCAGUGGGGAAUAUUGCACAAUGGGCGCAAGCCUGAUGCAGCAACGCCGCGUGCGGGAUGAAGGCCCUAGGGUUGUAAACCGCUUUCAGCAGGGAAGAAAAUGACGGUACCUGCAGAAGAAGGUGCGGCCAACUACGUGCCAGCAGCCGCGGUGACACGUAGGCACCAAGCGUUGUCCGGAUUUAUUGGGCGUAAAGAGCUCGUAGGCGGUUCAGUAAGUCGGGUGUGAAAACUCUGGGCUCAACCCAGAGACGCCACCCGAUACUGCUGUGACUUGAGUACGGUAGGGGAGCGGGGAAUUCCUGGUGUAGCGGUGAAAUGCGCAGAUAUCAGGAGGAACACCAGUGGCGAAGGCGCCGCUCUGGGCCGUAACUGACGCUGAGGAGCGAAAGCGUGGGUAGCAAACAGGAUUAGAUACCCUGGUAGUCCACGCCGUAAACGUUGGGCACUAGGUGUGGGUCUCAACCAACGAGAUCCGCGCCGUCGCUAACGCAUUAAGUGCCCCGCCUGGGGAGUACGGUCGCAAGACUAAAACUCAAAUGAAUUGACGG
This 565-nucleotide ribosomal RNA is filed under the name uncultured bacterium. Its description in RNAcentral is "bacterial SSU rRNA". It matches the Rfam family "Bacterial small subunit ribosomal RNA", at positions 337 to 916 of the family's 1533-position model. The record is from RNAcentral.